GUUAGUUUGUGCCAUGAACCAAUUCAUAUCACUCUCUGCUUGCCACAUUCUAAAUGGUUAAGUCACUAAUUGAAGACUCUAUUGCAGAAAAUGCUCAAGAGGCAAUUCCGUACACUGAAAGCCCAGGGAAGACUCCCGCUAGACCUCCCUCUGAGACCAAUGAAGGCCUGGCUCCUGGCAGGGAAAAGAGUCUUCUUGGAACUUGGGAUGCAAAGAGGGGCCUGGAAUUACAGGAGACAGAGAGAGUUCUCCUGGUCAGUUGCCAGAGAGUUCAGGAUGAAUUAAGGAUUUCUGAUUUCACCGUGGAC
Long non-coding RNA from Oncorhynchus tshawytscha (Chinook salmon), 308 nucleotides. The record is from Ensembl. Lineage: Eukaryota; Metazoa; Chordata; Actinopteri; Salmoniformes; Salmonidae.